ACUCUCUUGGUGUGUACUGGGUGUUAACCUCCUUUUUUCUGGUACUUGCUAUCCAGCAAUGGUAGUUUUGUCCAGAUAGUUUACUUUGAAAAAAUUAGAGUGUUCAAAGCAGGCAUAAUUGGCAUCAUGAAUACAUUAGCAUGGGAUAAUAGAAUAUGACAUUGGUCUUAUUUUGUUGGUUUCUAAGGCCAAAGUAAUGAUUGAUAGGGAUAGUUGGGGCCGCUCGUAUUGAGUUGUCAGAGGUGAAAUUCUAGGAUUUACUCAAGACGAACUAAUGCGAAAGCAUUCGGCAAGGAUGUUUUCAUUAAUCAAGAACGAAAGUUGGGGGAUCGAAGAUGAUCAGAUACCGUCGUAGUCUCAACCAUAAACUAUGUCAACCGAGGAUCCGGUAGCGUUACAUGGAUGACCUUCCGGGCACUCUGUGAGAAAUCAUAAGUAUUUGGAUUUCGGGGGG
This 454-nucleotide ribosomal RNA is filed under the name uncultured eukaryote. Its description in RNAcentral is "bacterial SSU rRNA". It matches the Rfam family "Eukaryotic small subunit ribosomal RNA", at positions 672 to 1121 of the family's 1831-position model. The record is from RNAcentral.